CAGGAAUCUUCUAGCUUGGAUGGAGGAAGGAUCAAAGGGAAUGAGUAUAGAAGUAAUCCAUUCUGCUGAUUCCUGAAACAUGUCAAUGACCUGAUGCAUGGCCUCUACAGGAGUGCUUGGCCACCACACUCAGUUCCCAGUGACCUAUUCUGCCGCAUCCCAGGGAAAGGAGACAGCAGAACCACUCUUCCAUAAAUCCAUGACAGUGCGAAACCCUUGUCCUGAUUCAGAGUCAUGUAAAGUUGGUGAGUCAUAUACAGUUUCUUCCAUUUCUCUCUUGCUCAUUCUCCCUGUCACUCACUCAAACUCACACACGUGUGCAGUUGCAGAGAAGAGGAAGCGAUUUGCGGAUUACACCCAUUCCUAACAAUGUUUGUUGCAGGAGUGAUAAGACAGACACAACUUUUGAACAAGAUAAUAUUGCCUCUUUACUCAUACUUGAAUUGUUGCAUUUAGCGUUCUUUUUUAAAGACUGCAAGCUGUCCUCAAUUGGGGGAAAUUCUGUCCGGGACAACGUCCUCAGGAUUAUGGAGCAGUGUGUUUUAUAAAUAGUUGUUUGAAUAUUACAACGUGUAUUAGGAUUAAGCAAAUUGAUGACCGAUAUGAAGGGACAGAAGAGCAAACAUGCCUUUGCUACCACUUUUAGUAGAUUCUGACUGUUUAAGAUAUUUUACUUUGCAUUACUGUUCUGACGUGUCCUGCAGGCCCACAUUAUAUGGCGGCAGGUAGCCUAGUGGUUAGAGCAUUGGGCCAGUAACCGAAAGGUUACUAGAUUGAAUCCCCAAGCUGACAAGGUAAGAAUCUGUCGUUCUGCCCCUGAACAAGGCAGUUAACCCACUGUUCCUAGGCCGUCAUUGUAAAUAAGAAUUUGUUUUUAACUGACUUGCCUAGUUAAAUAAAGGUUAUUUAAAAAAUAAAAUUAUGCCAAUUGUUAAUUUAUUUUCUUGUAUUUUAAUGCUUAUAGUAAGUGUCAUGAAAAAGCCAGAAAAUUCAGGAGGUUGAUGUGUUGUGAGCCCUCUCGAAAGUCCUAAAAUAUGCCCCUGACCGCUGUGGUGGAGGACAACGCAAAGUUUGUACAUCAGCAAGUUUCUCUUUUUUUCUCUUUUUUUCAUCUCUAGGCUGUAACUGCCACAAAAUUAUUCAACUAGUACCAUGGAAAUCAUUUUAGCUAACUGAGUCCACAAAUAUUCUUCAAUUAAUGUCCUUUUCUAGUUUGCUUUUAAAAUCUCAAAUUGGUAAUGCACUGAUUCUCUUCACUGCAGAUCUGACCCAUCAAACGACUCUUCAAGAGGGUCACUACGCUCCAGAUCUCUUUCUGUGCUCAGCGGUACUUGAUGAGGAUCUACCCCAUCACACCACUCUAAUUAAUUAUUAAUCAAAUAAAACAAUGGGCCUUUGUAUA
Molecule: long non-coding RNA, 1402 nt
Organism: Salvelinus fontinalis (brook trout)
Lineage: Eukaryota; Metazoa; Chordata; Actinopteri; Salmoniformes; Salmonidae
Exons: 3
Source: RefSeq, a predicted model, not a curated record